UUGUUCAUCUACUUCUGUAUGUUCUUUGUUUGAUUCUUGUAACGAUGACAUUUUGUCUGAUAACAAGGCUGUUACCUUGCCCUCAAAUGUACAUAGUUCCAUCUGUAAUAAUGUUGUUACAAACUGACAUGAAUUACAUUUGGCAUUUAAGACUUGCCCAUGCUUCAUUUACAAAUAUGAGACACAUUUCUGGUUUGUCUUUUCCAUUUGCUUCUAAACAAC
RNAcentral lists this long non-coding RNA (222 nucleotides) under Nicotiana benthamiana. RNAcentral describes it as "long non-coding RNA (NBEN_LNC037181)". Lineage: Eukaryota; Viridiplantae; Streptophyta; Magnoliopsida; Solanales; Solanaceae. The record is from RNAcentral.